CCUACGGGAGGCUGCAGUGGGGAAUAUUGGACAAUGGGGGGAACCCUGAUCCAGCCAUGCCGCGUGUGUGAAGAAGGCCCUCGGGUUGUAAAGCACUUUCAGUGAGGAAGAACGCCUGGUGGUUAAUACCCAUCAGGAAAGACAUCACUCACAGAAGAAGCACCGGCUAACUCCGUGCCAGCAGCCGCGGCAAUACGGAGGGUGCGAGCGUUAAUCGGAAUUACUGGGCGUAAAGCGCGCGUAGGUGGCUUGAUAAGCCGGUUGUGAAAGCCCCGGGCUCAACCUGGGAACGGCAUCCGGAACUGUCAAGCUAGAGUGCAGGAGAGGAAGGUAGAAUUCCCGGUGUAGCGGUGAAAUGCGUAGAGAUCGGGAGGAAUACCAGUGGCGAAGGCGGCCUUCUGGACUGACACUGACACUGAGGUGCGAAAGCGUGGGUAGCAAACAGGAUUAGAUACCCCUGUAGUC
Molecule: ribosomal RNA, 465 nt
Filed under: Vreelandella stevensii
Lineage: Bacteria; Pseudomonadati; Pseudomonadota; Gammaproteobacteria; Oceanospirillales; Halomonadaceae
Description: partial 16S ribosomal RNA
Rfam family: Bacterial small subunit ribosomal RNA
Source: RNAcentral